UACGUAGGGUGCGAGCGUUAAUCGGAAUUACUGGGCGUAAAGCGUGCGUAGGCGGCGCACUAAGACAGCUGUGAAAGCCCCGGGCUUAACCUGGGAACGGCGGUUGUGACUGGUGGGCUGGAGUUCGGCAGAGGGGGGUGGAAUUCCUGGUGUAGCAGUGAAAUGCGUAGAUAUCAGGAGGAACACCGAUGGCGAAGGCAGCCCCCUGGGCCGCAACUGACGCUCAGGCACGAAAGCGUGGGGAGCAAACAGG
Molecule: ribosomal RNA, 253 nt
Filed under: uncultured bacterium
Lineage: Bacteria
Description: partial 16S ribosomal RNA
Rfam family: Bacterial small subunit ribosomal RNA
Source: RNAcentral